This 468-nucleotide ribosomal RNA is filed under the name uncultured bacterium. RNAcentral describes it as "partial 16S ribosomal RNA". It matches the Rfam family "Bacterial small subunit ribosomal RNA", at positions 28 to 507 of the family's 1533-position model. The record is from RNAcentral.
GACGAACGCUGGCGGUGUGCUUAACACAUGCAAGUCGAACGGUAAGGCCCUUUCGGGGGUACACGAGUGGCGAACGGGUGAGUAACACGUGAGUAACCUGCCCUCAUCUCUGGGAUAACAGUCGGAAACGGUUGCUAAUACUUGAUAUGAGCUUGCAAGGCAUCUUGUGGGUUGGAAAGAUUUUUUUUGGUUGGGGAUGGACUCGCGGCCUAUCAGCUUGUUGGUGAGGUAGUGGCUCACCAAGGCUUCGACGGGUAGCCGGCCUGAGAGGGCGACCGGCCACAUUGGGACUGAGAUACGGCCCAAACUCCUACGGGAGGCAGCAGUGGGGAAUAUUGCACAAUGGACGGAAGUCUGAUGCAGCAACGCCGCGUGCGGGAUGACGGCCUUCGGGUUGUAAACCGCUUUCAAUUGUGACGAAGCUUUUUUGUGACGGUAGCAGUAGAAGAAGCACCGGCUAACUACGUG